This is a long non-coding RNA of Cyprinus carpio carpio, 1399 nucleotides long. Lineage: Eukaryota; Metazoa; Chordata; Actinopteri; Cypriniformes; Cyprinidae. The record is from Ensembl.
GUUCCUCAAAAAAGGGGGGGUACAAUGCUGUUUCAUGCAUUCAGAGUUGUUUACACUGUUAAAGAGUAGGAUUCUCAUGUUAAACACACCAAAGAUUUAGAUAACUAUUUGGACGUAUAACAGACUAUUUCUGGGUUUCUUACAAGUUUCAGAAAGCUUUUAUUUUACGCUUUUGGCUCUUCAUGACUUACUGAAGGGUUGAACUCCUUAUACGGGCACUUCUCCCGGAAGGGCACGCUCGUGCACACAUUAGGGCCUUUCGCACCGCAGGAACCUUUUCAUAGUACCAGAACUAAUUGUGGAACUACCCACUUUUGGGCGUUUUCGCACCGCCGGAACUGGGUUACUGACGUAAGUAGACAUUGAUUGGCCAAACGCGUUCGAAAACGCCAUGUAAACAUACUGUAAACAUUGUGUAAACUUAUUUUGCAAGUAUGACGAACAGCGAUAAAUAUACGGACGCUGAAGUGCAGGCAUUUGUAGCAAAUGUAGCACUGCCAGUUGUCGUUGGAGAUUCUUAGUCCUCCUUUCCGUUCUUUCAUUCGCUUUACGUAUACGUCGACAUUCAUUGUCCAUUAUUGUGAAACCCGCGAGACACAACAAAUACACAGCUCCGAUCACAGCGUCCUCCAUCCACCUGUUGUUAACAUUGUUCUUCUUUGUUUCCACCGUGCACAAAUGACAUCGCUGUCGACCAGCUUACGUCACUUCCUAGUACACACUGUCUGUGCAAUGCAACCCUUUAAAUGGUACUGGGAAAUAGUUCGUGCAAAAUUGUCCCAGUACUUUAGUACUGUACAUUUAGUUCUGGAACUAAAGAGGUGCAAAGGCCCUAUAAACCAGAACGAAAGGAAGAGCAGCCCAUCAACGCGCUUCAUUCAGCAGCGCUGUAUGGGACUCGCUCAGGAAGUAUGUCUUUAAAGAAGUGUGUUUUUGGUUGUAAGGGAAAGAUGACCUUGUUCAGUUUCCUGAAGAAUCCAGCGUUAUGUAAACAGCGGGUGCAGUUUGUUUUUCUGGGGCAGCAACAGAGUUUCUCAAGUGUGUUUGUUGAGAAACGUUUUAUAAACAAGGCCCAGUUCGAUGCUGGAUAUGCACAUCAUUUGAUACUGAAAGAUAGAGUGGUCCCAGGUAUAAAAAAUCCCAGUCAUGAGUCAAAACUGCAGACGCCACAAAACAGGCCGGACGGAUAGAGCAUCCCACGCCUUCCCAUGAUGCCUUUCCCUUUGCGUCCUUUACCCCAUUCCAUCCUGUGAGAGUGUGGAAAUUAUUAGGGUGGGUCUUCUUGCACAAGACAUCGGGCUUAAAUCACUCAUCAUUACACACACAAACACAAACACAGAGCCCAGCUGGAUUCUCUGUUUGACCCCCCUAAAAUGGGUAAUCAGUCACUCUGACACUU